This 30-nucleotide non-coding RNA is filed under the name Mus musculus (house mouse). The record is from RNAcentral. Lineage: Eukaryota; Metazoa; Chordata; Mammalia; Rodentia; Muridae.
UGGGAAAACUUAAAGCUUCCACAGUGAGUG